GGGGAUAUAGCUCAGUUGGUAGAGUGCUUGCCUAGAAUGCACAAGGCCUUGGGUUCAAUCCCCAGCAUCACAA
This 73-nucleotide transfer RNA is filed under the name Ictidomys tridecemlineatus (thirteen-lined ground squirrel). RNAcentral describes it as "Spermophilus tridecemlineatus (thirteen-lined ground squirrel) tRNA". It matches the Rfam family "tRNA". From Rfam's summary of the family: Transfer RNA (tRNA) molecules are approximately 80 nucleotides in length. Their secondary structure includes four short double-helical elements and three loops (D, anti-codon, and T loops). Further hydrogen bonds mediate the characteristic L-shaped molecular structure. tRNAs have two regions of fundamental functional importance: the anti-codon, which is responsible for specific mRNA codon recognition, and the 3' end, to which the tRNAs corresponding amino acid is attached (by aminoacyl-tRNA synthetases). tRNAs cope with the degeneracy of the genetic code in two manners: having more than one tRNA (with a specific anti-codon) for a particular amino acid; and 'wobble' base-pairing, i.e. permitting non-standard base-pairing at the 3rd anti-codon position. The record is from Rfam by way of RNAcentral. Lineage: Eukaryota; Metazoa; Chordata; Mammalia; Rodentia; Sciuridae.